AGUGAACGCUGGCGGUAGGCCUAACACAUGCAAGUCGAACGGCAGCACAGUAAGAGCUUGCUCUUACGGGUGGCGAGUGGCGGACGGGUGAAGAAUACAUCGGAAUCUACUUUUUCGUGGGGGAUAACGUAGGGAAACUUACGCUAAUACCGCAUACGACCUACGGGUGAAAGCAGGGGAUCUUCGGACCUUGCGCGAUUGAAUGGGCCGAUGUCGGAUUAGCUAGUUGGCGGGGUAAAGGCCCACCAAGGCGACGAUCCGUAGCUGGUCUGAGAGGAUGAUCAGCCACACUGGAACUGAGACACGGUCCAGACUCCUACGGGAGGCAGCAGUGGGGAAUAUUGGACAAUGGGCGCAAGCCUGAUCCAGCCAUACCGCGUGGGUGAAGAAGGCCUUCGGGUUGUAAAGCCCUUUUGUUGGGAAAGAAAAGCAGCAGGUUAAUACCCCGCUGUUCUGACGGUACCCAAAGAAUAAGCACCGGCUAACUUCGUG
RNAcentral lists this ribosomal RNA (492 nucleotides) under uncultured bacterium. Its description in RNAcentral is "partial 16S ribosomal RNA". It matches the Rfam family "Bacterial small subunit ribosomal RNA", at positions 29 to 507 of the family's 1533-position model. The record is from RNAcentral.